GCCGACAUAGCUCAGCAGGUAGAGCAACUGAUUCGUAAUCAGUAGGUCCCGUGUUCGAUUCACGGUGUCGGCU
This 73-nucleotide transfer RNA is filed under the name Myxococcales bacterium. RNAcentral's name for it is "tRNA-Thr". It matches the Rfam family "tRNA". Rfam says of the family: Transfer RNA (tRNA) molecules are approximately 80 nucleotides in length. The record is from RNAcentral. Lineage: Bacteria; Pseudomonadati; Myxococcota; Myxococcia; Myxococcales.